Molecule: non-coding RNA, 91 nt
Organism: Mycena metata
Lineage: Eukaryota; Fungi; Basidiomycota; Agaricomycetes; Agaricales; Mycenaceae
Source: the annotation of a GenBank genome assembly
GGCCCGGUGGUGUAAUGGUUAACACGCAUGAAUUGGAUGCAUCUCCCCAAUGUUUCUUUGCGAGUCCUCCCUUCGAUUCGGAGUCUGGCCC